CAGAGACUGCAAGCGUUAUUCGGAUUCACUGGGCGUAAAGGGUGCGCAGGCGGUUGGGUGUGUCAGAUGUGAAAUCCCGAGGCUCAACCUCGGAACUGCGUCUGUAACUACUCGACUAGAGUACUGGAGAGGGUAACGGAAUUCACGGUGUAGCAGUGAAAUGCGUAGAUAUCGUGAGGAACACCAGAGGCGAAGGCGGUUACCUGGACAGUUACUGACGCUCAGGCACGAAAGCAUGGGGAGCAAAAGGGAUUAGAUACCCCUGUAGUCCAUGCCCUAAACGGUGCACACUAGGUCUUAGCGGAUUCGACCCCACUAGGGCCCAAGCUAACGCGUUAAGUGUGCCGCCUGAGGACUACGGUCGCAAGACUA
This 372-nucleotide ribosomal RNA is filed under the name uncultured organism. Its description in RNAcentral is "bacterial SSU rRNA". It matches the Rfam family "Bacterial small subunit ribosomal RNA", at positions 526 to 896 of the family's 1533-position model. The record is from RNAcentral.